Molecule: ribosomal RNA, 441 nt
Filed under: uncultured bacterium
Lineage: Bacteria
Description: partial 16S ribosomal RNA
Rfam family: Bacterial small subunit ribosomal RNA
Source: RNAcentral
CCUACGGGAGGCAGCAGUGGGGGAUAUUGCACAAUGGGGGGAACCCUGAUGCAGCGACGCCGCGUGGGUGAAGGAGCGUUUCGGCGCGGAAAGCCCUAUCGGCAGGGAAGAAGGAGGACGGUACCUGACCAAGAAGCCCCUGCUAACUACGUGCGAGCAGCCGCGGUACUUCGGAGGGGGCCAGCGUUAUCCGGAUUUACUGGGUGUAACGGGGGUGCAUACGGCUGCGCAAUCCAGGAGUGAAAUGCCGGGGCCCAACCCCGGGCCUGCCGUUGAAACUGGGCGGCUGGAGUGCAAGAGGGACAGGCGGAAUGCGUGGUGUAGCGGUGAAAUGCGUAGAUAUCGGGAAGAACACCGAUGGCGAAGGCAGCAUGCUGGACUGAGACUGACGUUGAGGCACGAAAGCGUGGGGAGCGAACAGGAUUAGAUACCCUAGUAGUC